This 462-nucleotide ribosomal RNA is filed under the name uncultured bacterium. RNAcentral describes it as "bacterial SSU rRNA". It matches the Rfam family "Bacterial small subunit ribosomal RNA", at positions 33 to 507 of the family's 1533-position model. The record is from RNAcentral.
ACGCUGGCGGCGUGCCUAACACAUGCAAGUCGAACGAGGUCCAUGAGAGCUUGCUCUCAGAAGACCUAGUGGCGAACGGGUGAGUAACACGUGAGAAACCUGCCUCGGAGUGGGGAAUAACUCGGGGAAACUCGAGCUAAUACCGCAUAUCUUCACAUGAUCGCAUGGUCGAGUGAAGGAAGAAUUUCGCUCUGAGAGGGUCUCGCGGCCUAUCAGCUUGUUGGUGGGGUAACGGCCCACCAAGGCAACGACGGGUAGCUGGUUUGAGAGAACGAUCAGCCACACUGGGACUGAGACACGGCCCAGACUCCUACGGGAGGCAGCAGUGGGGAAUCUUGCGCAAUGGGCGAAAGCCUGACGCAGCAACGCCGCGUGCGGGAUGACGGCCUUCGUGGUUGUAAACCGCUUUCAGCAGGGACGAAAAUGACGGUACCUGCAGAAGAAGCCCCGGCUAACUACGUG